Molecule: non-coding RNA, 117 nt
Filed under: Nomascus leucogenys (northern white-cheeked gibbon)
Lineage: Eukaryota; Metazoa; Chordata; Mammalia; Primates; Hylobatidae
Source: Rfam by way of RNAcentral
GCCGGGUGUGGUGGCUCACGCCUGUAAUUCCAGCACUUUGGGAGGCUGAGGCAGGUGGAUCACCUGAGGUCAGGAGUUCAAGAUCAGCCUGGCCAACAUGGUGAAACCCUGUCUCUA